AUUGAACGCUGGCGGCAGGCCUAACACAUGCAAGUCGAACGAGUGGCGGACGGGUUAGUAAUGUCUGGGAAACUGCCCGAUGGAGGGGGAUAACUACUGGAAACGGUUGCUCAUACCGCAUACCAUCGGAUGUGCCCAGAUGGGAUUAGCUAGUAGGUUGGGUAACGGCUCACCUAGGCGACGAGCCCUAGCUGGGCUGAGAGGAUGACCAGGCAAACUGGAACGGGGACACGGUACAGCAGCCUACGGGAGGCAGCAGUGGGGAAUAUUGCACAAUGGGCGCAAGGCUGAUGCAGACAUGCCGCGUGUAUGAAGAAGGCCUUCGGGUUGUAAAGUACUUUCAGCGAGGAGGCGUUACUCGCAGAAGAAGCACCGGCUAACUCCGUGCCAGCCGCCGCGGUAAUAC
Molecule: ribosomal RNA, 406 nt
Filed under: uncultured bacterium
Lineage: Bacteria
Description: partial 16S ribosomal RNA
Rfam family: Bacterial small subunit ribosomal RNA
Source: RNAcentral